RNAcentral lists this small RNA (37 nucleotides) under Anaerobutyricum hallii. RNAcentral's name for it is "CRISPR_Spacer". Lineage: Bacteria; Bacillati; Bacillota; Clostridia; Lachnospirales; Lachnospiraceae. The record is from RNAcentral.
GGAGGUAUCUAUAUGAAGAAAUUAUUUAGCAUCGAUA